RNAcentral lists this ribosomal RNA (372 nucleotides) under uncultured Bacteroidales bacterium. Its description in RNAcentral is "bacterial SSU rRNA". It matches the Rfam family "Bacterial small subunit ribosomal RNA", at positions 43 to 414 of the family's 1533-position model. The record is from RNAcentral. Lineage: Bacteria; Pseudomonadati; Bacteroidota; Bacteroidia; Bacteroidales.
CAGGCUUAACACAUGCAAGUCGAGGGGUAGCAGGGUAGCAAUACCGCUGACGACCGGCGCACGGGUGAGUAACACGUAUCCAACCUUCCCAUAACUCGGGGAUAGCCUUUCGAAAGAAAGAUUAAUACCCGAUAGUACUUUUUUAGGGCAUCUUAGAAAAGUUAAAGAUUUAUUGGUUAUGGAUGGGGAUGCGUUCCAUCAGAUAGUUGGUGAGGUAACGGCUCACCAAGUCUUCGAUGGAUAGGGGUUCUGAGAGGAAGGUCCCCCACAUUGGUACUGAGACACGGACCAAACUCCUACGGGAGGCAGCAGUGAGGAAUAUUGGUCAAUGGGCGAGAGCCUGAACCAGCCAAGUAGCGUGAAGGAUGACGG